CCCUGUGGCUCAGUUGGUAGAGCAUGGUGUUUGCAACGCCUAGGUUGUGGGUUCGAUUCCCACAGGGG
Molecule: transfer RNA, 68 nt
Filed under: Salmo salar (Atlantic salmon)
Lineage: Eukaryota; Metazoa; Chordata; Actinopteri; Salmoniformes; Salmonidae
Rfam family: tRNA
About the family: Transfer RNA (tRNA) molecules are approximately 80 nucleotides in length. Their secondary structure includes four short double-helical elements and three loops (D, anti-codon, and T loops).
Source: Rfam by way of RNAcentral